CGCCUCUGCAGCUCCCGCUCCCCCUGGCCUCCCGGGAACUACAAGUCCCAGGGGGCCUGGCGGCGGGCGGCGGCCGGAAGAG
Cavia porcellus (domestic guinea pig) is the source of this 82-nucleotide microRNA precursor. NCBI's taxonomy places the organism in Eukaryota, Metazoa, Chordata, Mammalia, Rodentia, Caviidae. The record is from Ensembl.